GCGAGUUGGAGCGCCCCUGGGAGGGGCUGGGGCUCGGGGGCGCGCGCAGAAGGGGCGGGGCGCCGGGAGGGAGGGACGGCGCCGCGCCCCGGGGAAGCCGGCGGACCCGGGUCCUACGGCGGCGGGACUCAGGACCCGGGGACGGCGACAGUUCGCAGGCGUUCGUGGGCUCGCCGCCCACCCACUAGGGUCCUUGUGCUUUCCCAGAAAUGAGGGAGGGAUCCCCGGGACCGCAGGCCUUCAGGGAAAGCUGCCUGCCAAGCAUUUUCUACUGGGAAUGCCUGCAAGGGUCAAUUUAAGGGUGUGGCAAUCAGCCGGAGGCCUUGUCAGCUGCCUGUCCACAUGCCUGUCUGCUUCAGGACCUUGGAAAACACCUUCGUACCACCCUAGAAAACAAACAAGCCCCACUCCAAAGGGGUAUGGAGCCAACUGAUGAUGUGUCUCCCAUAGAAUUCCUAUACCGGCAACACAACCUGUUCCAGCCAGUCUUCAGACCAGGAACAAGACUCCACUUCUCUUUGAUGCAGAAAUCACAAAAACAUGCUUAAUGAGGACAAGGCUUUGGGAGUCAUGGCCCUAUUCCUUAAAUGUCCCGGAAGGCUCUGAUUCCUUGUCUCUUUGAUGGAACUAAAAAGUGUCACCUUCUAUACACAUCUAGUGCUGCUUAGCAUGAGGUCAAAUUUGCUGGAAGCCAAAUUAAAUCCAGACAUUCUUGGUAGGGCACUGUCCCCAAUACAUACAACUAGGUUCACAGAUCAAGGAAUUAUGCAGCAAGCCAUUCCCAAAUCACAACGAAGGUCAGAUUCUUAGGAAAAUGUCAUGCUGUGGAUUCCUUAUUGCUUGAAAUAUCUUUGGGAAUUAAAGUAGUCCAGUUACCACUUCCCCUUAGACCUAUUCCAGAACAUAAUUAAACCACUCAAGCACUCAGGGGAUGAACAAUUCCAUGGGGCUUCUAUAAAAUUCUAUUUGUGAACCUCAUGCCUGCCACAGGAGGUUCGCUCAACUCUUUCUAUCACAUGGGCACGGCACCCAGUCUUCUCUAGGCGUUCACAUUUUAACAAACUAUGAUUCUACAGGAAUGUGCCCUUUGUUUUCUCAAAUCAGGAUGUAGGGGGUAAAUAUCCUUAUUGGUCACAUAAGAAAUGGGAAUUCAAUUCCCCAACGGGAACACUUAAAAUUGCAGAGGCAGUAUGCUCUGGUGGAUAAAAAAAAGAGGUAAAUUAGGAGUACAAAGACGUGGGUUCUAACUUCAGUUCUGCCAUUAGCUAGCUGUGUGACAUUGAGCAAAUCACCACAAGUCUCUGAACCUCCUCUUUCUUGAUGAAAUAAAUUGUAUAAUUUUUAUAAUUGUAUAAUAAUU
Molecule: long non-coding RNA, 1360 nt
Filed under: Phascolarctos cinereus (koala)
Lineage: Eukaryota; Metazoa; Chordata; Mammalia; Diprotodontia; Phascolarctidae
Description: lncRNA (ENSPCIG00000005205.2)
Source: RNAcentral